CCUACGGGUGGCAGCAGUGGGGGAUAUUGCUCAAUGGGGGCAACCCUGAUGCAGCGACGUCGCGUGGGUGAAGAAGCGCCUCGGCGCGUAAAGCUCUGUUAGUAGGGGAGUAAAUUACGGUACCUGAAGAAGAAGCUCCGGCUAACUACGUGCCAGCAGCCGCGGUAAUACGUAGGGGGCAAGCGUUAUCCGGAUUUACUGGGUGUAAAGGGGGCGCAGACGGGGAUGCAAGCCAGGAGUGAAAGGCCGGGGCCCAACCUCGGGACUGCUCUUGGAACUGGAUGGCUAGAGUGCAGGAGGGGCAGGCGGAAUUCGUGGUGUAGCGGUGAAAUGCGUAGAUAUCAGGAGGAACACCGAUGGCGAAGGCGGCCUGCUGGACUGCAACUGACGUUGAGGCCCGAAAGCGUGGGGAGCAAACAGGAUUAGAUACCCCUGUAGUC
RNAcentral lists this ribosomal RNA (440 nucleotides) under uncultured bacterium. Its description in RNAcentral is "partial 16S ribosomal RNA". It matches the Rfam family "Bacterial small subunit ribosomal RNA", at positions 338 to 795 of the family's 1533-position model. The record is from RNAcentral.